UACAGAGGUCCCGAGCGUUGUUCGGAUUCACUGGGCGUAAAGGGUGCGUAGGUGGUGAGGUAAGUCGGAUGUGAAAUCUCCAGGCUCAACCUGGAAACUGCAUUGGAAACUACCUUGCUGGAGGAUUUGAGGGGGGGAUUGGAAUACUUGGUGUAGCAGUGAAAUGCGUAGAUAUCAAGUGGAACACCAGUGGCGAAGGCGAAUCCCUGGAAAAUACCUGACACUGAGGCACGAAAGCUAGGGGAGCAAACAGG
RNAcentral lists this ribosomal RNA (254 nucleotides) under uncultured bacterium. RNAcentral describes it as "partial 16S ribosomal RNA". It matches the Rfam family "Bacterial small subunit ribosomal RNA", at positions 524 to 776 of the family's 1533-position model. The record is from RNAcentral.